GAGGACAAAGGACCACAAAACUGUGCUAUCUGAGAUACCUGAGACUCAUUGUCCAGAAGUAAUCUCUAUGUCUCUGUGCAGUGUUAUGUGUGCCGUGGAAACACAUUAAGAAGAAGUAGUUCUGUGCAACUCCUUCUGUGGCAUUUCAUCCAAGCAGUUUAACAAGGCUAUAAAAGCAAACAACCCCCCGGUGGAAUAUACUGAGUUACUAGUCCAGGUUUUCUGCGUAUUCACAAGUCAGAAGGAGGACGCUUUCCAUAUGUGGCCUUACUGAGCUAAGGAGAUCUGGUAAGAAGCAUCAGAUGGGAUCUGUGUGGGGAAUGUAAGCUGAAUGAAGAGAUGAUACAAUAUAGAUCUGUAGAAGGUAGAAUUCUGUAUUACGGCCUUCUCCAAGUCAUCAUCAACCUACACACCUGACUUACUGUGUGGCCCAGCUCAAUGGGGUUGUCCUGACUGGGAUCAUAAGCCCGGAGUGGAAUUUCAGCCCUUCACGGCCAGCCCAGCCACAGCGAAUGGAGUGGAUGCUAACCUGUCUUUGGCCAUAAGUGGAAGCAUUCCCUGAAGGAGGGAAGGCUGCAGAUCCACGAUUCACAGAAGGAGA
Molecule: long non-coding RNA, 601 nt
Filed under: Dromaius novaehollandiae (emu)
Lineage: Eukaryota; Metazoa; Chordata; Aves; Casuariiformes; Dromaiidae
Description: lncRNA (ENSDNVG00000013540.1)
Source: RNAcentral